Molecule: long non-coding RNA, 1009 nt
Organism: Oncorhynchus keta (chum salmon)
Lineage: Eukaryota; Metazoa; Chordata; Actinopteri; Salmoniformes; Salmonidae
Exons: 6
Source: RefSeq, a predicted model, not a curated record
CUUAUUAUAAUAGUUAGAGAGCUUCCAUUGACUAAGUUACCCUAGAGGUCAGGGUCACACCCCCUGGUAAUAACACCCCUGGUGUUAACAGCAGCCUUUGGGUUCUAGAGGUCAAGGUCACAGCACUGGUGUUAACAGCAGCCUUCAGGUUCUAGAGGUCAAGGUCACAGCACUGGUGUUAACAGCAGCCUUCAGGUUCUAGAGGUCAAGGUCACAGCACUGGUGUUAACAGCAGCCUUCAGGUUCUAGAGGUCAAGGUCACAUCCCAGGUGUUAACAGCAGCCUUCAGGUUCUAGAGGUCAAGGUCACACCCCUGGUGUUAACAGCAGCCUUCAGGUUCUAGAGGUCAAGGUCACACCCCUGGUGUUAACAGCAGCCUUCAGGUUCUAGAGGUCAAGGUCACACCCCUGGUGUUAACAGCAGCCUUCAGGUUCUAGAGGUCAAGGUCACACCCCUGGUGUUAACAGCAGCCUUCAGGUUCUAGAGGUCAAGGUCACACCCCUGGUGUUAACAGCAGCCUUCAGGUUCUAGAGGUCAAGGUCACACCCCUGGUGUUAACAGCAGCCUUCAGGUUCUAGAGGUCAAGGUCACACCCCUGGUGUUAACAGCAGCCUUCAGGUUCUAGAGGUCAAGGUCACACCCCUGGUGUUAACAGCAGCCUUCAGGUUCUAGAGGUCAAGGUCACACCCCUGGUGUUAACAGCAGCCUUCAGGUUCUAGAGGUCAAGGUCACACCCCUGGUGUUAACAGCAGCCUUCAGGUUCUAGAGGUCAAGGUCACACCCCUGGUGUUAACAGCAGCCUUCAGGUUCUAGAGGUCAAGGUCACACCCCUGGUGUUAACAGCAGCCUUCAGGUUCUAGAGGUCAAGGUCACACCCCUGGUGUUAACAGCAGCCUUCAGGUUCUAGAGGUCAAGGUCACACCCCUGGUGUUAACAGCAGCCUUCAGGUUCUAGAGGUCAAGGUCACACCCCUGGUGUUAACAGCAGCCUUCAGGUUCUAGAGGUCAAG